This 1033-nucleotide long non-coding RNA is filed under the name Ceratitis capitata (Mediterranean fruit fly). Its description in RNAcentral is "uncharacterized LOC105664705, transcript variant X2". The record is from RNAcentral. Lineage: Eukaryota; Metazoa; Arthropoda; Insecta; Diptera; Tephritidae.
UUAAGGUUUAUGAAUUAAAUCGAAAAUUCUAUUAGCUGAAAUAAUAACUUAAUCUUUAUUUUGGUUAUUAGAAGAAGUUAAAUGAUUUUAAAUUUGUUAAGGUAGUUUGCGAAUCCAAAAUUUAAAAAGUUAUUCAUGACUAACAAUUGAAUCUGAACCAGUUAACAAUUUCAUAUAUCUAAUUGUUCCAAUCUCUUUUCUUCACUUAGACAAAAUCUCUCACAAAGAACUUUCUUAAUAGUUUCAUAAUUAUUCGAAAACGGAGGUGGAUUAAUAACAUCGAUAAUUUUGAAAAUAGUUUCUCGUUGAAGAGCAAUUAAAACAUUUUGAAAUUCAAUGUUAUAAUUAUAAAUAUUAUUAAUUUCAAAUUGUCCUUCAACAAGCAAAAACCAUGCUUCAGGAUAUUCAUUCCAAAACGGAGAAAGACGAGAAAUAUAUUUUAUUGCUAUCAUUGAUGUGUUGACCCAGUAUGGUGUAAAGAAACAGGCCGCAAAAGCAGCUAAAACGGUAAAGUAUGGAGGUAAUGUCGACGGUAUUUCUACAUGUGAUCCAGACCAAUAUGCUAAACGGUUUCUAGAUUUCAUGGAUAAAGCGAUUGAGUAAUCAGUUGUCUUGGAUAACGUGAAUUUAAGAUCAGAUUAUUUUAAAUUAAGUACUCAAGUAACAACUUAAAAUUAUUGCGAUGCGAAAUAUGCAAAUGUUGUGAUUUCAUACUAGGUAACUUUAAUAAUACUUCCUUUUUUUGGUAUGCCAACUGUUUGAAGAACUAACAUUUAUGAAAUUUUUUACUAAUAUACGAAAGAAAAUAAAUUUAUUUUAUUAUGUUGAUUUCGUACUUCAAGCGCUAAUAGAUACGAUAACAUUCCCAAACAUAUUUAAACAAAGGUCAGUGUAAAGAUAGAAUAACAUCUUGUUGGAUAUAAUUUAGUUUCUGACUUUAUUGAAAUAAUUUGAAGAAUUGUGUUCUUUGCUUUAAUGUCAUCUAUGUUUCUUCAAAAUCACUAAUUAUUAUAUAUUAUUUGCAUACAAAUUA